Molecule: ribosomal RNA, 448 nt
Filed under: uncultured bacterium
Lineage: Bacteria
Description: bacterial SSU rRNA
Rfam family: Bacterial small subunit ribosomal RNA
Source: RNAcentral
AACGAACGCUGGCGGCAGGCCUAACACAUGCAAGUCGAACGCUGUAGCAAUACAGAGUGGCAGACGGGUGAGUAACGCGUGGGAACCUUCCCAGUGGUGCGGAAUAGCUCAGGGAAACUUGAGGUAAUACCGCAUAAGCCCCUAGGGGGAAAGAUUUAUCGCCAUUGGAUGGGCCCGCGUCGGAUUAGCUAGUUGGUGAGGUAAUGGCUCACCAAGGCAACGAUCCGUAGCGGUUUGAGAGAAUGACCAGCCACACUGGGACUGAGACACGGCCCAGACUCCUACGGGAGGCAGCAGUGGGGAAUCUUGGACAAUGGGCGCAAGCCUGAUCCAGCCAUGCCGCGUGAGUGACGAAGGCCUUAGGGUUGUAAAGCUCUUUUGCCGGGGACGAUAAUGACGGUACCCGGAGAAUAAGUCCCGCUAACUUCGUGCCAGCAGCCGCUGUAAU